RNAcentral lists this ribosomal RNA (253 nucleotides) under uncultured bacterium. RNAcentral's name for it is "partial 16S ribosomal RNA". It matches the Rfam family "Bacterial small subunit ribosomal RNA", at positions 524 to 776 of the family's 1533-position model. The record is from RNAcentral.
UACGUAGGGUGCGAGCGUUAAUCGGAAUUACUGGGCGUAAAGCGUGCGCAGGCGGUUCGUUGUGUCGGCGGUGAAAGCCCCGGGCUCAACCUGGGAAUGGCAUUUGGGACUGCAAGGCUGGAGUGCGGCAGAGGAGACUGGAAUUCCUGGUGUAGCAGUGAAAUGCGUAGAUAUCAGGAGGAAUACCGAUGGCGAAGGCAGGUCUCUGGGCUGACACUGACGCUCAUGCACGAAAGCGUGGGGAGCAAACAGG